This is a long non-coding RNA of Diorhabda carinulata, 310 nucleotides long. RefSeq lists it as uncharacterized. The transcript has 2 exons. NCBI's taxonomy places the organism in Eukaryota, Metazoa, Arthropoda, Insecta, Coleoptera, Chrysomelidae. The record is from RefSeq and is a predicted model, not a curated record.
CUGUAAUGUACUACCAACCUGUCAUGCUAUGUCUAAUGGCUGAUGAUAUAAUUCAAAAGAACAAAAGUACAACAAAUAUCCAUGGGUCAAAAUAUUAUUAGAUAUAAACAAACUUUUUGGGAAUUAUGUUCAAAUUGUAGAUGUGGUAUUUUCUACAAAAUUAAGAACGCUGCGGACAGGAUUCGAACCUGUGCGGGCAGAGCCCAAUGGAUUUCAAGUCCAUCUCCUUAACCACUCGGACACCGCAGCUGUGGAACAUGAUCAUUCAACGUAAUGAAUUAAAAUAUCAAUAAAUUUGCGUUCUACUUAA